This 468-nucleotide ribosomal RNA is filed under the name uncultured bacterium. RNAcentral describes it as "partial 16S ribosomal RNA". It matches the Rfam family "Bacterial small subunit ribosomal RNA", at positions 28 to 507 of the family's 1533-position model. The record is from RNAcentral.
GACGAACGCUGGCGGCGUGCUUAACACAUGCAAGUCGAACGGAAAGGCCCUGCUUUUGUGGGGUGCUCGAGUGGCGAACGGGUGAGUAACACGUGAGUAACCUGCCCUUGACUUUGGGAUAACUUCAGGAAACUGGGGCUAAUACCGGAUAGGAGCUCCUGCUGCAUGGUGGGGGUUGGAAAGUUUCGGCGGUUGGGGAUGGACUCGCGGCUUAUCAGCUUGUUGGUGGGGUAGUGGCUUACCAAGGCUUUGACGGGUAGCCGGCCUGAGAGGGUGACCGGCCAGAGUGGGACAGAGAUACGGCAGAGGCGCCUACGGGAGGCAGCAGUGGGGAAUAUUGCACAAGGGGCGGAGUGCUGAUGCAGCAACGCCGCGUGCGGGAUGACGGCCUGCGGGUUGUAAACCGAUGACGCCUGUGACGAAGCGUGAGGGAAGGUAAUGGGUAAAGAAGAACAGGCUAAAUAAGGG